GGAUAAAUUAAAAAAUAGCAACUCUGUGACACAAAUCCUGAAUAGUGAGUUUGAAAUUUAUUAAAGGAUACAUGUUUUAAAAUAGUCAUAGGUGAAGCUUCUCAAAGACUGGAAAGCUAUCCUUAGGCAGAUCUACUUAAUGAUAAAAAUAAUUAUUGGCCAGGAGCUGUGACUCACGCCUGCACUCCCAGCACUUUGGGAGGCUGAGGUGGGAGGAUCACUGAGUCCAGAAGUUCAAGACCAGCCUGGGUAACAUAGUGAGACCCCCAUCUCUACCAGGAAAAAAAAAAAAAAAAAAAAGCCAGGUGUGGUGGUGCAUGCCUGUGGUCCCAGCUAUUUGGGAGGCUGAAGUGUGUGGAUUGCUUGAGCCUGGGAAGUCAAGGCUGCAGAGAGCCCUGAUAAUGCCACUGUAUUCCAGCCUGAGCUACAGAGCUGGACCCUGUCUCAAAGAAAAGUUAUUAUUAUUAUUUUAGCUAACAUAUAUGAGAAUAUUCUAUGUACCAGGCAUUAUCCUGAGCAUUUUGCAUGCUUUAUCUCAACUAAUCUUUACAUAACACUAUGAAGCACGCGUAACUAUUUAUGCCCAGGUUGCUGAUGAGGAAACUAAAGUCUUUGUAUCCAGUUCAGCUGGAUCAAAACCCAGUGCUUUCUGCCUUCCAAUCAGGAGGUUUUUCCUUGGGCUGUAGAGCUUGACUUUCCAGGCAAUGCACAGGCAGGGAUGUGUGCUCCAGGGGCCACUCCAGUUCUCAGACGAGCCACAGUUACAGUCAAGACACAGUUGGCAAGAUCGUGUAUAAUAGUGGACCAGAGGCGAUGGAAGGAGCUCAACAUUCUCACUUAAUCCCACUUCUCGCUUUCCUGUGUGGUUUGUGGGUGUGAGUGCUGAAAAAUGAGCUUCCUCUGCAGGAGGAGGAAGUGGCGGGGCUUGGAGCCAGAAUGACUCAUCAGAACUCCCUAAGGAAGUCAGGACAACAGCAGGAGACUGAGCUUUCAACAUCGGACAUUCAGGAUGAACGCGGCAUCUGGACUGGGGCCAGGCAUGAGUGGAUGGAGAGCAGGACCACCAGUCAUUUACACAGCUUGUCCAUUGGCAAGCGCUGCUGAGCCCAGGCAAAUCAUCCCUGGAUUGAGGGUGAGUAAUGACAAUUAGCCUAUCUAAGGUUAAGGAAGAAGCCUGUAGUACAAGGGAGAGGCAAGUAUAUCUGGCAGACUCAGAGGAAGAGCAGAACUUUGAAAAAUAAUCCACAGUAUCAUCCAGAGAAAAAAUGUUAUUCUCAAAGGAUUGCAUGAAGAAAAAAUAUAUUUCAAAAGGACCAGACCUCCUAGUGUCUGUCCUUACUUAGUUAUACUUGAAGAAAAAGAAAAUGCAGAUGGCCUUGCCUCCGUUGUGUCCACUUAAGUGCCAUUUAUGUCCCUUUUAGUGUCACUGCUGGGGGGCAAGUUGAAGUGUUUGUUUCCAGCUUCUUGGCCUCCAAGAUUUUCUCUGUUUCUGGGUAUCAAUAUGAUUUUUAAUUUCUCUUAUUAAUUAUAAUGAUAAAGUAAAUAUGGUCCAGGCUUGGCAGUGUGUUAUAGCUGCCUUUGAUUUUAGAAAUAGAUUAUGUUUUUAUCUUU
RNAcentral lists this long non-coding RNA (1611 nucleotides) under Macaca mulatta (Rhesus monkey). RNAcentral describes it as "lncRNA (ENSMMUG00000059909.1)". Lineage: Eukaryota; Metazoa; Chordata; Mammalia; Primates; Cercopithecidae. The record is from RNAcentral.